CGUAUCAUGUCAUGGGGUUUGGAUGCACCAGUGAAAGUUGCACCGAUCCUCGAGGUGAGAAUGGGCAAUGCAUGGUACCGAAGAGGCUAGCAAAAUAUGAGAAGGUGAGAUUGCGUAUGUCCAUGGUUUCACAUUAAUCAUGAAGAACUCACAUACUUAUUGUGAAGUUUUAUUAGUUUUAUCGCAAAUCAAAGCACUACUGCAUGCCCCGAGGGAGGGGUGGGAAGAGUUAACCAU
This 237-nucleotide long non-coding RNA is filed under the name Hordeum vulgare. RNAcentral's name for it is "long non-coding RNA (HVUL_LNC010536)". The record is from RNAcentral. Lineage: Eukaryota; Viridiplantae; Streptophyta; Magnoliopsida; Poales; Poaceae.